GUGUUGUAUGAGGUUGUCAAUGACUAAUGAUUAAGUUGUAUGUGAUGUUCACAGGUACCAUACGGAUUUCUUCUUCUCCUACUAACGAAGAUGAGCGGACGAAUAUCGAGUCAAGAGCAAGGAUUGUACGGGAAGGAUCGGUCACAUAGUUUAACAAAUGAGUCAUGUCAACAAGAGCACAAACGAGGAAGUGUCACGGGUCGAAGGUAAACAUGGAAGCUAUGUGCAAAUUCGGACGCAUGAG
This 244-nucleotide long non-coding RNA is filed under the name Helianthus annuus (common sunflower). Its description in RNAcentral is "sRNA HanXRQr2_Chr16g0766521". The record is from RNAcentral. Lineage: Eukaryota; Viridiplantae; Streptophyta; Magnoliopsida; Asterales; Asteraceae.